AAAAAAGAAGAAGCCUUGAAAUUAGUUUGAUAUUUGCCUCGUCAUCUUUUAGAAGCAAUACCAAUGAACAUCUCAUAACCAGAGUCGGAUCUACUAUCCCCAAAAUUGGUGUCUACUUACAUCCCUUUUCUAUUUGGUGUCUCCCGAUAUAUAGCGUAUAUAUCAUGUCUUAAAAAAAAAAAAUCCAUGAAUUUCUUUUUGCAAAGAACCCAGUAGUAUAGUGAUUUGGAGCAAAUGCUCCUCUCAAGAAAAGUCCUG
Molecule: long non-coding RNA, 258 nt
Filed under: Prunus persica (peach)
Lineage: Eukaryota; Viridiplantae; Streptophyta; Magnoliopsida; Rosales; Rosaceae
Description: long non-coding RNA (PPER_LNC002467)
Source: RNAcentral